GGACAGCACAUUCCUGUGGGAAAUCUGUGAGGUGGAAAAUCAAAAUUCUCCUGAUGACUGUUUAUAAAGAAUAACGGCUAGCUCAUGUCUUCAGUGUUUUAUAGAUGUGCUCACAUGUAAUCUAAACAAGAACUCUACAAGAGAGGUAUCCAGAGCCCCAUUUUAUAGAUAAGGAAAUUGAGGCUCAGAGAGGACAAGCGACUUGGCUAAGCUCCUGCAGCUGAGUUGGGGGCUGCAUCUGACAAGUGGCCGUGGUUUCAAGUCUCUGGAGUCCCAUUUUUUUCUCUUCCAUGGAGUUUGUUUGCUGCAGUUUGAGCAGCCGAGGCAUAUGAUAAAUACCAGGUUGCCAUUUCCAGAAGUCAGCGGUUUCUGUCUCUUUCAUUCACUGCUGUAUCCUCAGUGCCUAGAACUGUGCUGAGUACAGAGUAGGAAUAGAAUCAUUUUUUGCUAAAUGAAGGGAUGAAUGAAAGAUACCUACUUUAUUGCUUUUUGUGGGGCUUAAAUGAGAUAAUGUCUAGUAAGCCCACAGUGAAGUUCAACAGUUAAGAAAGAGCUCAACCAGUGGUAGUGGUUUACUAUCAUCAUCAUCACUACCACCACCCUCAUAAUCCUCUUCAUCUUUAUUACUGGAAGUGUAUAAGGUGUCCUUAGAAGAAGAGGAGAUUGGGCCCCAGACACACAUGCACAGAAGAAAGACCACGUGAAGACAGAGGGAGAAGUCGGCGAUCUACAAACCAAGGAAACAUCCUCAGAAUGAAACCAACCUUGCCAACCCCUGAUCCUAGACCUCCGGCCUCCACAACGACGGUGAAGCUCCUGGUUCUCGAUCCUUUGCACUCGGACAGGGAGUUAUACCAUUGGCUCUUCUGGUUUUCAGGCCUUUGGACUCAGAUGGAAUUAUACCACAGGGUUUCCUGGAUCUCCAGCAUGCAGAUGGCAGAUUGUGGAACUUCUCAGCCUCCAAAAUCGAUUUUAAUGCUGUGUGAUCAUCUUAGUGCACCACACAUUUUCUGCAUUUUGAUUUUUUUCUUUUGUGGUGACUCCCGAAGAUAGAAUUUCUGAGCUAAAGGAUAUUUUAUUUUACGUUCCUGCAUACUUUUGCCAAAUGGUUGCAUACAAAGGAUGAAGCCUUUACAUUCCCACUGGCAGAGAAUGAGUACCCACAAGUGCCCCAAGUCUAUGGUAACCUGUCCUGUGGAGGGAAAUCUGAAAGCUCUUAGUGAGACCAGUGGGCAGAUGCUAAGGCUGCCCCCAGACAGAGGGAGAAGUCGAACCACCAAGCAUUUGCUAGGCGGCGCAGCAUCUAUGUGGUCAGGGCCAAUGAUAUUCUUUUGCUCUUUCCAGCAUUGCCCAGUGAUCCUGGGGAUGCCGUUUGGAAGCUGCACACCUUUGACAUCUUUAGGGUUGAAGAGAUGAUGCUCCCCAUGGGGGCUGACCAGUGAUCCAUUAGUUUCUCGUGGAGUCUUCGGAGGUCUACGGGGCCUUCCUGGGGUUGCACCUCAUUUCCCCCACUCCUGACUUCGCAAUUUACUCCUUUGGAUUUUUCCAGAAACCGUCUUUGGCAGUUCUGAAACAAAGGCCACCUAGUGACCAAACACAAAACAAAAAACACUUGGAAAUCAUCAUUUCUCAAAAAGACUUUUGUUUUGAAAGAGACAA
Long non-coding RNA from Pan troglodytes (chimpanzee), 1659 nucleotides. RefSeq lists it as uncharacterized. The transcript is spliced from 6 exons. Lineage: Eukaryota; Metazoa; Chordata; Mammalia; Primates; Hominidae. The record is from RefSeq and is a predicted model, not a curated record.